GAGGCAGAGGCCCGAUGCGCGCCGGAAGCUCGUCGUGCGAGCCAUGGCGAAGAACAUCGCCUUUGAUCAGAGUUCCAGGUCGGCUCUUCAGGCCGGCGUCGAGAAGCUUGCUAAUGCUGUCGGUGUAACCCUUGGUCCUAGAGGGAGAAACGUCGUGUUAUAUGAGUAUGGAGCUCCAAAAGUUGUCAGUGAUGGUGUAACUAUUGCCCGUGCCAUUGAGCUAUGGAAAAUGCUGGUGCAACUUUGAUUCGUGAGCUGUUGAAUCAAUUUCUGUUGGCAAUGAUGAAUUCCUAGGAACUAUGAUUGCUGAUGCUAUUGAUAAAGUUGGUUCUGAUGGUAUGCUAUCUAUUGAGUCCUCAUCCUCAUUUGAAACUACUGUUGAAGUUGAAGAAGAGA
Molecule: long non-coding RNA, 396 nt
Organism: Zingiber officinale
Lineage: Eukaryota; Viridiplantae; Streptophyta; Magnoliopsida; Zingiberales; Zingiberaceae
Exons: 3
Source: RefSeq, a predicted model, not a curated record